Vigna umbellata (rice bean) is the source of this 971-nucleotide long non-coding RNA. RefSeq lists it as uncharacterized. The record is from RefSeq and is a predicted model, not a curated record. Lineage: Eukaryota; Viridiplantae; Streptophyta; Magnoliopsida; Fabales; Fabaceae.
CUCAUUUUACUCAACCCUACUUCUUUCCCGCGUCGUUCAUCUACGUUUCUUGGAUUUCAGUUCGUGUCUCGAACGUUGUUCUUCACGUUUUCUGGACUUCAAACAAGGUGUAGAGUUCUCACGCAAGGAGCAUGGCAAAGGAGGAGGUUUGGGUUCGUUUUUGGCAGAGAGGAAACGCAAGUUUCGGCGGCCAGGCGCGACCUCCAUCCUCACCGCGCGGUGGGUACCACGGCGGUGAUUUCUUCGCGGCGCGGGGAUGAGCUUCGCCAGAUAGGGUCUUUCUCGUGCAGGUUGCAUGGUGUUUGACAUGGGACUAGCUACCACACCAGCUUGUUUCAUGAGCACAAUAUUGUCUCCAUUUGCCUAUGGUGGUUCAAUCAUGGAUUUUCUACAAUCCAUGAACUCAAAUGAAUGCUGCUUAUGACACUAGACUUUAAGACUAGUACUGAGAAGCUUAUAAUAUGGAUGUGAUGAUUCUGUCAUAAUCAGAGCCUAAUACAAAUUUUUUACCAAGAGAGGUGGAUUGACUUCAACAGAGGUGGAGGAAAUAUGUGAUAAAGCUGCUCGAAAAUAUGCAAAUAUAGGAUGGCCAAAGUCUCUACUUUGCUUAGUGUCAUUCCAACAAAAGUUGAUUUUAUGAGCACUUAUGCAAUACACCUACGAGAAAUAAUCAAGGAGAGAAUCGAUCAUCCUCUGUAUCCUGACACUCCACUUCAGGGAUUUCAGAUACUAUGAAGGACUUCAAAAGUGUGUUGGACUUUAUUUAGAAGAUGGACAGUACUCGCCAAUUAUAUUAGGCCUCUCUUAACUAAGGGCGUUCCCUCUCUGUUCUCUGAUCUAUCAUCUUUGUACAAUCACCCUGGGAAGGUAUCUGAUCAAGGGAGUGGGCCAAACAAUGGAUGUAAUGAAGAAAAAAAUUAGAUAUUGUUAUUGAAUACUUUUAGUAUUGAACAUCUAUAUUGAACAUAUGU